RNAcentral lists this long non-coding RNA (435 nucleotides) under Physcomitrium patens. Its description in RNAcentral is "long non-coding RNA (PPAT_LNC008100)". Lineage: Eukaryota; Viridiplantae; Streptophyta; Bryopsida; Funariales; Funariaceae. The record is from RNAcentral.
UACUUGUUAGAGACACACAAUUAACGAUAUUCCAAACCACUGAAACACUAAGAAAUACUACAAUGCUUUCUCUUAGUAACAAUACUCCUUCAUCAAUUGAUAACAAUAAUGUACAACCCUGCACUCUCAAAAGACCACUCAAAAUACAAUAAUUUCCAUCCAACACCAGAAAUAACAGACUUCACUCCAAUCAAUCUGAAUUCACAUGAUUUCUGUAAACACAAACUUCCUCUGUCAAAACACACACAACUCUCAAUAAACAACAAUCAUAAUCUUUCAAUAACUCCUCAUAUAAUUCAAUCACUCAGUUCUCCAAUUACAUAAUCAAUAACUCAUAAAUCAAUCUCUGACUUAUUCCACAGACUCACUUCUCAGUAUUCAGAAAUUAUCCAUUACUUUUCAACAACAAAGAAAACAAAGAAACAAAGAGGUAGC